Molecule: ribosomal RNA, 465 nt
Filed under: uncultured bacterium
Lineage: Bacteria
Description: partial 16S ribosomal RNA
Rfam family: Bacterial small subunit ribosomal RNA
Source: RNAcentral
GACGAACGCUGGCGGCGUGCUUAACACAUGCAAGUCGAACGGAAAGCCCUGCUUUUGUGGGGUGCCCGAGGGGCGAAAGGGGUAGUAAAACGUGAAUAACCUGCCCUUGACUUUGGGAUAACUUCAGGAAACCGGGGCUAAUACCGGAUAGGAGCUCCUGCUGCAUGGUGGGGGUUGGAAAGUUUCGGCGGUUGGGGAUGGACUCGCGGCUUAUCAGCUUGUUGGUGGGGUAGUGGCUUACCAAGGCUUUGACGGGUAGCCGGCCUGAGAGGGUGACCGGCCACAUUGGGACUGAGAUACGGCCCAGACUCCUACGGGAGGCAGCAGUGGGGAAUAUUGCACAAUGGGCGGAAGCCUGAUGCAGCAACGCCGCGUGCGGGAUGACGGCCUUCGGGUUGUAAACCGCUUUCGCCUGUGACGAAGCGUGAGUGACGGUAAUGGGUAAAGAAGCACCGGCUAACUACG